Gambusia affinis (western mosquitofish) is the source of this 561-nucleotide long non-coding RNA. RefSeq lists it as uncharacterized. The transcript is spliced from 3 exons. The record is from RefSeq and is a predicted model, not a curated record. NCBI's taxonomy places the organism in Eukaryota, Metazoa, Chordata, Actinopteri, Cyprinodontiformes, Poeciliidae.
CACUUGAUUCUGCGGUGGUGUGGUGGAACUGAAGUGCAUGCCAUGUUCUUGCACCAUGUAAUCACAUGGUGGGACUUCUGUUUCAAAAUACUCUCUACAGUGUUAUGGGCUAUAAGACAAUACCAUCUCCUUUGUCAUGCACCAGUUCACUGCAGAUCUGGCACCGGGCAACAACAAAGGUCGGAAAUGAAUAUUUUUUUAAACUUGGUGACCUUAGACUAAUAGUUUGUUUUCACUUAUUUGUUUAUUAAUCAUUUGUAAUUAUAGGAAAUUGCCCCAGAGACUACAAAUGAAAUGGCAGUAUGUAAACCAGUGGCAAGAGAUAAAAACAGGGUUAGGACUGCUGUGAAGUGCACACAGGCCAUGUGCAGUCGUCGAAUAUUCGUGGCCUUCAAAGUGCCUGUCCUACGUAGACCAGGUCCUUUGACGCAAAGACAUUCAUACGCUCCGAAAGAUGCAGACCCUGAAUUCGGACACACUGAUUGCAACUCAUUCUCCCGCUGGUCGAGCUCCAUCUGCCGACACCAUCCAUCCAUGCGGUCGGUCUCAGCUUGAAGAAGC